UGUGGCAGACUAGUGCAAUGAAUUUAAGCUUCAU
This 34-nucleotide transfer RNA is filed under the name Calathus fuscipes signaticornis. RNAcentral's name for it is "partial tRNA-Leu". Lineage: Eukaryota; Metazoa; Arthropoda; Insecta; Coleoptera; Carabidae. The record is from RNAcentral.